RNAcentral lists this ribosomal RNA (254 nucleotides) under uncultured bacterium. RNAcentral's name for it is "partial 16S ribosomal RNA". It matches the Rfam family "Bacterial small subunit ribosomal RNA", at positions 524 to 777 of the family's 1533-position model. The record is from RNAcentral.
UACGGAGGGUGCAAGCGUUAUCCGGAUUCACUGGGUUUAAAGGGUGCGUAGGUGGGCAGGUAAGUCAGUGGUGAAAUCUCCGGGCUUAACUCGGAAACUGCCAUUGAUACUAUCUGUCUUGAAUACCGUGGAGGUCAGCGGAAUAUGUCAUGUAGCGGUGAAAUGCUUAGAUAUGACAUAGAACACCAAUUGCGAAGGCAGCUGGCUACACGAAUAUUGACACUGAUGCACGAAAGCGUGGGGAUCAAACAGGA